Molecule: ribosomal RNA, 253 nt
Filed under: uncultured bacterium
Lineage: Bacteria
Description: partial 16S ribosomal RNA
Rfam family: Bacterial small subunit ribosomal RNA
Source: RNAcentral
UACAGAGGGUGCAAGCGUUGUUCGGAAUUAUUGGGCGUAAAGGGAGUGUAGGCUGUUUCUUAAGUCUACUGUGAAAUCUACGGGCUUAGCCUGUAACGUGCAGAGGAAACUGGGGGACUUGAGUGUCGGAGAGGGUAGCGGAAUUCCCGGUGUAGAGGUGAAAUUCGUAGAGAUCGGGAGGAACACCAGUGGCGAAGGCGGCUACCUGGCUGACAACUGACGCUGAGACUCGAAAGCAUGGGGAGCAAACAGG